This 119-nucleotide ribosomal RNA is filed under the name Pteropus alecto (black flying fox). Lineage: Eukaryota; Metazoa; Chordata; Mammalia; Chiroptera; Pteropodidae. The record is from RNAcentral.
GUCUAUUGCCAUGCCACCCUGAACAAGCCCGAUCCCGUCUGAUCUCGGAAGCUAAGCAGGGCCGGGCCUGGUUAAUACUUGGAUUUGAGACCACCUAGGAAGACUGGAUGCUGUAGGUG